RNAcentral lists this ribosomal RNA (480 nucleotides) under uncultured bacterium. RNAcentral describes it as "bacterial SSU rRNA". It matches the Rfam family "Bacterial small subunit ribosomal RNA", at positions 30 to 507 of the family's 1533-position model. The record is from RNAcentral.
AUUGAACGCUGGCGGAAUGCUUUACACAUGCAAGUCGAACGGUAGGGGGGGCAACCCCUCGAGAGUGGCGAACGGGUGAGUAAUAUAUCGGAACGUGCCCAGUCGUGGGGGAUAACGUAGCGAAAGUUACGCUAAUACCGCAUACGAUCUACGGAUGAAAGCGGGGGAUCGCAAGACCUCGCGCGAUUGGAGCGGCCGAUAUCAGAUUAGGUAGUUGGUGGGGUAAAGGCUCACCAAGCCAACGAUCUGUAGCUGGUCUGAGAGGACGACCAGCCACACUGGAACUGAGACACGGUCCAGACUCCUACGGGAGGCAGCAGUGGGGAAUUUUGGACAAUGGACGCAAGUCUGAUCCAGCCAUUCCGCGUGCAGGAUGAAGGCCCUCGGGUUGUAAACUGCUUUUGUACGGAACGAAAAGGUUUCUAUUAAUACUAGGAGCUCAUGACGGUACCGUAAGAAUAAGCACCGGCUAACUACGUG